This 621-nucleotide ribosomal RNA is filed under the name uncultured bacterium. RNAcentral's name for it is "bacterial SSU rRNA". It matches the Rfam family "Bacterial small subunit ribosomal RNA", at positions 338 to 954 of the family's 1533-position model. The record is from RNAcentral.
CCUACGGGAGGCAGCAGUGGGGAAUUUUGGACAAUGGGCGAAAGCCUGAUCCAGCAAUGCCGCGUGAGUGAAGAAGGCCUUCGGGUUGUAAAGCUCUUUUGUCAGGGAAGAAACGGUGGGAGCUAAUAUCUCUUGCUAAUGACGGUACCUGAAGAAUAAGCACCGGCUAACUACGUGCCAGCAGCCGCGGUAAUACGUAGGGUGCAAGCGUUAAUCGGAAUUACUGGGCGUAAAGCGUGCGCAGGCGGUUUUGUAAGUCUGAUGUGAAAUCCCCGGGCUCAACCUGGGAAUUGCAUUGGAGACUGCAAGGCUAGAAUCUGGCAGAGGGGGGUAGAAUUCCACGUGUAGCAGUGAAAUGCGUAGAUAUGUGGAGGAACACCGAUGGCGAAGGCAGCCCCCUGGGUCAAGAUUGACGCUCAUGCACGAAAGCGUGGGGAGCAAACAGGAUUAGAUACCCUGGUAGUCCACGCCCUAAACGAUGUCUACUAGUUGUCGGGUCUUAAUUGACUUGGUAACGCAGCUAACGCGUGAAGUAGACCGCCUGGGGAGUACGGUUGCAAGAUUAAAACUCAAAGGAAUUGACGGGCGNGAGAGNGCGACGGACGACGACGAGGGAGGAGG